UCUUUCUCUUGCUGUAUGAAUGUCGUCAUGAGUCUAUCUCUGUAUCUGUUCAUUGUCUGCAAGUACAAAUCCUGAUUGCGGGUCAAUGUAAUCGGAUGCGGAUCCUGAUUGUACAGCCGUAAAUAGUGAAACAUGUCAAGAUUAAAGCCCCCUGAUAUUUUGGAUGAAAACUGAAUCUGCGAGUUUACUAAACAGACGUUACAGUUGUACUCAGAUAACCCUGAUUAACUGAGCAAAAUUUCUAGCUGCUGUGAAUGAACUUUUGCUUGCCUCUGUGGCAUUUGUUUGCCCAGUAUGCAGCAGUCACAAACCUAUCCCACGAUAUCUACAUGAAUUCCUAGGAGCUUUUCAAAGGAGCUAAGCCUAUCAAGGAGAGAUCAUGCCACAGGGCAGACUCACUAACCAGCCUGGAUUUCAAACAUGCCAAUGACAGCUGAUCAUCUGCCAUGAAGGCAGCUCCAACUACCUGCAACAUCAGAAUGAAUCCCAUCAAUGAGCGCCCGGAUCCAAAUUGGGCUGCUUUCUUGACCAACCAGGGAAGAGUGUGGGUUUUUCAAAUGGCUGUCAGAAUUCAUAAAAUUUCCUGCAUUAUU
This is a long non-coding RNA of Anolis carolinensis (green anole), 593 nucleotides long. RefSeq lists it as uncharacterized. Lineage: Eukaryota; Metazoa; Chordata; Lepidosauria; Squamata; Anolidae. The transcript is spliced from 2 exons. The record is from RefSeq and is a predicted model, not a curated record.